RNAcentral lists this ribosomal RNA (497 nucleotides) under uncultured bacterium. RNAcentral describes it as "partial 16S ribosomal RNA". It matches the Rfam family "Bacterial small subunit ribosomal RNA", at positions 28 to 507 of the family's 1533-position model. The record is from RNAcentral.
GAUGAACGCUGGCGGCGUGCCUAAUACAUGCAAGUCGAGCGAACAGACGAGGAGCUUGCUCCUCUGACGUUAGCGGCGGACGGGUGAGUAACACGUGGAUAACCUACCUAUAAGACUGGGAUAACUUCGUGAAACCGGAGCUAAUACCGGAUAAUAUAUUUAACCGCAUGGUUCAAUAGUUAAAGACGGUUUUGCUGUCACUUAUAGCUGGAUCCGCGCAGCAUUAGCUAGUUGGUAAGGUAACGGCUUACCAAGGCGACGAUGCGUAGCCGACCUGAGAGGAUGAUCGGCCACACUGGAACUGAGACACGGUCCAGACUCCUAAGGGAGGCAGCAGUAGGGAAUAUUCCGCAAUGGGCGAAAGCCUGACGGAGCAACGCCGCGUGAGUGAUGAAGGUCUUCGGAUCGUAAAACUCUGUUAUUAGGGAAGAACAAAUGUGUAAGUAACUAUGCACGUCUUGACGGUACCUAAUCAGAAAGCAACGGCUAACUACGUG